AGGGAGUACAGCAUGGAUGUGGGAGAACGGAGUCACCUCUGGGCCUUGGACAGGGUUCCAUUAAGACAUCUCCAACCUUGGAUCUCCUGAGCU
RNAcentral lists this long non-coding RNA (93 nucleotides) under Octodon degus (degu). Its description in RNAcentral is "ZNFX1 antisense RNA 1 conserved region 2 (ENSODEG00000024768.1)". It matches the Rfam family "ZNFX1 antisense RNA 1 conserved region 2". Lineage: Eukaryota; Metazoa; Chordata; Mammalia; Rodentia; Octodontidae. The record is from RNAcentral.